UUUGAUGUUUAUUUCUGUAUUUAUUUUAUUUUAUAAGUUUUAAGAAUCCCAAUUUUCAUAAUUCUAUGACGUCAUAGGAAUACAAGUGUGAGGUUUCUGAAAGUGAUGACACAAAAGAUUAUUGAGAAGGGACCUGUCAAGUACAAAUGUGUGAAAGCUUUGAGCAGCUUAGACCCAGAAAUUAUUAAAAUGCAAUCAAAUGUUGAAAAAUUGUAUUUCAAUGCUUUACUGGAGGUUCUACAUGAUACAAACAGGAUUGAUGAGAAAUGUGCUGUCAAAGCAAAACAACAGCAUGAUAUACUCAGCAAUAAAGUGUCCAUAAAACCCUAUUCUACAAAGUUUGAGGACUUCUUAUCUGAAAGGAGUGAUGAUGAUGGUCUGGACACAUUUUAUUGUGAAAUUAUGAAGA
This is a long non-coding RNA of Centruroides sculpturatus (bark scorpion), 409 nucleotides long. RefSeq lists it as uncharacterized. The transcript has 3 exons. The record is from RefSeq and is a predicted model, not a curated record. Lineage: Eukaryota; Metazoa; Arthropoda; Arachnida; Scorpiones; Buthidae.